UACGAAGGGGGCUAGCGUUGUUCGGAAUCACUGGGCGUAAAGGGCGCGUAGGCGGCCGAUCAAGUCGGGGGUGAAAGCCUGUGGCUUAACCACAGAAUGGCCUUCGAUACUGUUUGGCUUGAGACCGGAAGAGGUUAGUGGAACUGCGAGUGUAGAGGUGAAAUUCGUGGAUAUUCGCAAGAACACCAGUGGCGAAGGCGGCUGACUGGUCCGGUUCUGACGCUGAGGCGCGAAAGCGUGGGGAGCAAACAGG
This 253-nucleotide ribosomal RNA is filed under the name uncultured bacterium. Its description in RNAcentral is "partial 16S ribosomal RNA". It matches the Rfam family "Bacterial small subunit ribosomal RNA", at positions 524 to 776 of the family's 1533-position model. The record is from RNAcentral.